RNAcentral lists this ribosomal RNA (715 nucleotides) under uncultured bacterium. RNAcentral's name for it is "bacterial SSU rRNA". It matches the Rfam family "Bacterial small subunit ribosomal RNA", at positions 200 to 916 of the family's 1533-position model. The record is from RNAcentral.
UGGAAAGAAUUUCGGUCAAGGAUGGACUCGCGGCCUAUCAGCUAGUUGGUGAGGUAAUGGCCCACCAAGGCGACGACGGGUAGCCGGCCUGAGAGGGUGACCGGCCACACUGGGACUGAGACACGGCCCAGACUCCUACGGGAGGCAGCAGUGGGGAAUAUUGCACAAUGGGCGCAAGCCUGAUGCAGCAACGCCGCGUGAGGGACGACGGCCUUCGGGUUGUAAACCUCUUUUAGUAGGGAAGAAGCGACGUGUUUUACACGGAGUGACGGUACCUGCAGAAAAAGCACCGGCUAACUACGUGCCAGCAGCCGCGGUAAUACGUAGGGUGCAAGCGUUAUCCGGAAUUAUUGGGCGUAAAGAGCUCGUAGGCGGUCUGUCGCGUCUGCUGUGAAAACUGGGGGCUCAACCCCCAGCCUGCAGUGGGUACGGGCAGACUAGAGUGCGGUAGGGGAGAUUGGAAUUCCUGGUGUAGCGGUGGAAUGCGCAGAUAUCAGGAGGAACACCGAUGGCGAAGGCAGAUCUCUGGGCCGUAACUGACGCUGAGGAGCGAAAGCAUGGGGAGCGAACAGGAUUAGAUACCCUGGUAGUCCAUGCCGUAAACGUUGGGAACUAGAUGUAGGGACCAUUCCACGGUUUCUGUGUCGCAGCUAACGCAUUAAGUUCCCCGCCUGGGGAGUACGGCCGCAAGGCUAAAACUCAAAGGAAUUGACGG